This is a long non-coding RNA of Spinacia oleracea (spinach), 894 nucleotides long. RefSeq lists it as uncharacterized. NCBI's taxonomy places the organism in Eukaryota, Viridiplantae, Streptophyta, Magnoliopsida, Caryophyllales, Amaranthaceae. The transcript is spliced from 6 exons. The record is from RefSeq and is a predicted model, not a curated record.
AGCCGCACAAAGAAAGGUGCCUCAAUUUUUUUUAUUUUCCCGCUCUUCAUCUGCUUCCCUCACAUUCUCUGUAUCCGGCUAUCUGCGGCACCGCGAAACAAAACUCACUGCACACACGCUCACCCCAUCUAUAUCACGCCUCCGUCCUCUGCCUUGCCGCCGCUGCGCUCUACUCUUCCUCACGAACUGCAAUCCAUUACCGACGGCGUUGCUGACUUGGUGGUGUUGUUCUUGUUGCUAGUGUUGGAUUCCCCCACCGCCGAAGUCUUCCUCGUCCUUGAUGCGUCGCGCUGUUGUUCCCCCGCUUCCGGUGGCGCCGCCUGAGUCUGAACUGCUGCGUCGCUCCUCCUAAUACCUUGUAGUUAGUGUAGUGACUGAGAAAAGGAGAAAAAGAGGCAACACCAACCAUGAUUAUUCCAGUUCGUUGCUUCACGUGCGGUAAGAAUCUUUUCAAUGUUGAAAGUGAUCCAGUCAAGAAAAAAUAUUUCUAAAAGUUGUGGGCAUAAGAUUCAGGGAUUUCAAGGCUAAGUUAGUGAGUGGUUGGAUUACUAAAACGAGACAGAAAGUUUGAAAUCAGUGAAGUGUGCACAACAAACGGGCAAUACGGAGUGCGGCUACUACGUGAUGAAGCUCAUGUAUGAUAUAGUCACAAGAUCUCGAAAAGGUAUUCAAUAAUCCGAGGGAGUGACCUUUCACCUUUGAGGAGAUAGAUGAAGUUCGAGAAAUGUUGGAAAACUUCAUUAGCAGUGAUUGUCUUUGAUAUUUUCUUGUAUUGAAUCUUAAAUUACGGAUGCUAGCCUGGUUUUCAUAUGAUUGUAAUGUAAUCGACUUUUAUAUUUACAAUAAUAUACUAUUUAAUUUAAUUAUCUAUAUAAUUGGAUACUUUUUAUAUGA